Molecule: long non-coding RNA, 262 nt
Filed under: Amborella trichopoda
Lineage: Eukaryota; Viridiplantae; Streptophyta; Magnoliopsida; Amborellales; Amborellaceae
Description: long non-coding RNA (ATRI_LNC004013)
Source: RNAcentral
UUUACUUCUUAUUGUACUUCUAUUAAAUUUCAAUAUGCCAGGCUAGUUUACAUCUUGCAUGUUCUAUAUUUUAUUGAAAACAAUUGUAACAACAAUUCAUCUUCAAAUAAUUUGUAAGCACUUUCUCAACAGUCCCAUCCUCACAUCUCAUAGUUGAAGAGAGGCUAGCAGUUCGUUAAAAUGUAGUUUUUUUAGCAUACUGAAUCUGUUAAAACCUUGGCGAGCCCUAAUUUCUUUAAAAAUAAAAAAUACAAAAAAUAAG